Molecule: long non-coding RNA, 303 nt
Filed under: Mytilus galloprovincialis (Mediterranean mussel)
Lineage: Eukaryota; Metazoa; Mollusca; Bivalvia; Mytilida; Mytilidae
Source: RNAcentral
GUCCUCGUAUCCUGGAUACACUGACCUAAUAUAUCACAUGAUAAGGUACAUCAAAAUAUCCAUCUGUCCAUUUUCGAUCAACAUAUUGACGAUUGCAUUUAAUGAAAUGACACCUCUUUAAUUAAUUAAUUUAUUGAAAAUUAAUAAUUGCAUAUAAGAACAAAAUGGAAAUUCGUCCUGGAACUGUAAAACCUACAAGACUUUCAGUUUACAUUCGUGAGAGGAUAUUAAGUUUAAGAAGAUCUGGCAAAAACAUUACUGAAGUUAGAGAUGAGUUGAUACGAUCGGAUAAUGUUCAAGUUU